This 217-nucleotide long non-coding RNA is filed under the name Brassica napus (rape). RNAcentral's name for it is "long non-coding RNA (BNAP_LNC027099)". Lineage: Eukaryota; Viridiplantae; Streptophyta; Magnoliopsida; Brassicales; Brassicaceae. The record is from RNAcentral.
AUAGAAAGCACUGUCGAAGUGUGAUGAAUGUGUUAGGUUGAUGUCAACUCCAUUUGGUUGGUUGCGAUGAAUGCUUUGAUGAAUUUAAAACCAUGUUCUUCUCUUUGUAGCUAAAUGUCAAGUCAUUUUAGUUGGUUGGCUGUGAUGAAUGCAUUUGAAACUUUCUUUCUUCUCUGGCGAUAUAAACACACUUCUUUCUUCUCUUCCAUCAAGUAAA